UCUUGGAAAUCUUGAACAGAGACCAUACCCGGAGUUAAGUAGCCAAAAGAAAUCAUUGCUAAAUGUUAGCUUGCUGGUGGAUUUAAGCAAAUAUUAUCAUCUGUAUAUAUCCGGCUAUACAUUUUGCGUGUACCUACACAUUUGUGUACUAAACAUUGUCAAGGGUCAUUCAUCACAGCAGAGACAUGUCUCUGAUCACAGCGACAUGUACAAAUGUAUACAUUUUAUAGUUACUACUACUCUCUAGACUAGACUAGCUCGAUAUGCACAUGUUGGGUAGAUCAAGUAGAGGCCUUGCUCGGCCACGAACACGGCCAAGGAUUGUAACAGUUGGACCAGAGACUUGGACAACAAGGCCACACCAGUUUUUAUACGACCGCAAAUUUUGAAAAAAAUUUCGUCGUAUAUUGCUAUCACGUUGGCGUCGUCGUCGUCGUCGUCGUCGUCGUCGUCGUCGUCGUCGUCCGAAUACUUUUAGUUUUCGCACUCUAACUUUAGUAAAAGUGAAUAGAAAUCUAUGAAAUUUUAACACAAGGUUUAUGACCAUAAAAGGAAGGCUGGUAUUGAUUUUGGGAGUUUUGGUCCCAACAUUUUAGGAAUUAGGGGCCAAAAAGGGCCCAAAUAAGCAUUUUCUUGGUUUUCGCACUAUAACUUUAGUUUAAGUUAAUAGAAAUCUAUGAAAUUUUGACACAAGGUUUAUGACCACAAAAGAAAGGUUGGGAUUGAUUUUGGGAGUUUUGGUUUCAACAGUUUAGGAAUUAGGGGCCUAAAAAGGGCCCAAAUAAGCAUUAUUCUUGGUUUUCGCACAAUAACUUUAGUUAAAGUAAAUAGAAAUCAAUGAAAUUUAAACACAAUGUUUAUGACCACAAAAGGAAGGUUGGUAUUGAUUUUGGGAGUUUCGGUCCCAACAGUUUAGGAAUUAGGGGCCAAAAAGGGACCCAAAUAAGCAUUUUUCUUGGUUUUCGCACCAUAGCGUUAGUAUAAGUAAAUAGAAAUCUAUGAAAUUUAAACACAAGGUUUAUGACUAUUAAAGGAAGGUUGGUAUUGAUUUUGGGAGUUUUAGUCCCAACAGUUAAGGAAAAAGGGGCCCAAAGGGUCCAAAAUUAAAUUUUGUUUGAUUUCAUCAAAAUUGAAUAAUUGGGGUUCUGUAAUAUGCCGAAUCUAACUGUGUAUGUAGAUUCUUAAUUUUUGGUCCCGUUUUCAAAUUGGUCUACAUUAAGGUCCAAAGGGUUCAAAAUUAAACUUAGUUUGAUUUUAACAAAAAUUGAAACCUUUGGGUUCUUUGAUAUGCUGAAUCUAAAAAUGUACUUAGAUUUUUGAUUAUUGGCCCAGUUUUCAAGUUGGUCCAAAUCGAGGUCCAAAAUUAAACAUUGUUUGAUUUCAUCAAAAAUUGAAUAAUUGGGUUUCUUUGAUAUGCCAAAUCUAACUGUGUAUGUAGAUUCUUAAUUUUUGGUCCAGUUUUAAAAUUGGUCUAAAUUAAAGUGCAAAGGGUCCAAAAUUAAACUUAGUUUGAUUUUAACAAAAAUUAAAUUCUUGGGCCUCUUUGAUAUGCUGAAUCUAAACAUGUACUUAGAUUUUUGAUUAUGGGCCCAGUUUUCAAGUUGGUCCAAAUCAGGAUCUAAAAUUAUUAUAUUAAGUAUUGUGCAAUAGCAAGUCUUUUCAAUUGCACAGUAUUGUGCAAUGGCAAGAAAUAUCUUAUUUCACAAUAUUGUGAAAUAGCUAUUUUUUUUUUAAUUAAGAGUUAUCUUUCUUUGUCCAGUAUAGUCAGCAAGAAAUAUCUGCAAGAAUUUUUUUUAAUUGGAGUUAUCUUUCUUUGUCCAGAAUCAACUUAAAUCUUUGUUAUAUACAAUAUACAAUGUAUAUU
This is a long non-coding RNA of Mytilus trossulus (common blue mussel), 1864 nucleotides long. RefSeq lists it as uncharacterized. Lineage: Eukaryota; Metazoa; Mollusca; Bivalvia; Mytilida; Mytilidae. The transcript is spliced from 2 exons. The record is from RefSeq and is a predicted model, not a curated record.